Molecule: unclassified non-coding RNA, 376 nt
Filed under: Ficus condensa
Lineage: Eukaryota; Viridiplantae; Streptophyta; Magnoliopsida; Rosales; Moraceae
Description: partial contains external transcribed spacer and 18S ribosomal RNA
Source: RNAcentral
GCAUGGCUUAAUCUUUGAGACAAGCAUAUGACUACUGGCAGGAUCAACCAGGUAGCAUUCUUUCUCGACUUCGGACCCGCAUUGGUGCCACAGGCCUGGACGGCCUGCGGUCAAUGAGGGUAGCGAGAGUCGUUCUUAUCGAGGGACUUGAUUGGAGCAACCGGAGGCCAAGACCCCCCCCACGUCCGCUUAAUUUUCCACAUCCGAGAGCACGAGCAGUUGACCUGUGGACCGAGACAGCCACGACAAAAGUCGGGCGACACACCUCCGGGACACGGGGACUGCUUUCGAGGUCCGCAUUGCAGCCGCAAGGCAACAAGGAGGACAGGUGCGGGGCUGUCUGACGAAUUUUUCCAUACGAUGGGAAGGCAACACA